Molecule: non-coding RNA, 2861 nt
Organism: Kogia breviceps (pygmy sperm whale)
Lineage: Eukaryota; Metazoa; Chordata; Mammalia; Artiodactyla; Physeteridae
Source: RefSeq, a predicted model, not a curated record
CAUCAGAUCACUAUAUAAAAAGAAUGUCUUCCUAUUGGUUGUGGUUGGAAAGGUUUGAAAACAUUGAAAUCAGAAUAUACAGGACUUAAGGCAAGCACCAGCUGUAAAGGAAAGAAAAUAUAUUUGCAGUCAAUGGUAGUUCAUUCAUUCCACAGCUAUUUCUUCAAUGUAUUGAACACCAAAUGCAUGCAUAACAACUGCCUAAAAUUAGGAGGAGACACAGUGCAACUUUUAAGGUGAUCCCUUCUCUCUGGGGAGAGUUUACAAUCUUGUUGGAAAGAGAAGUUGCAGAGACGAAUCAGUUCAAUAACAGUCCAAGGCAGUAUGAGAUUAAGUUCUAAACUAUACCAGUAAUAGUCAUUAAUUUCAGAAAACUAAUGUGGGCAAUAGCAGUUGAGGAGCGUUCAGAAGAAAGGAGCUGAAUUUGAGCUGAACUUGAAAUGGGAGGAUGAAGGUGGGAGAGAAAGGCUUUCCAUCAGGAAGAAGUGCAGAAAGCUAAAGAUGUUUGAGGUACAACUAAUUUGGAGUAAUAAGAGGUGGGGUUGGGUGAAUAAGGGGAGGCAUAGUAUUAGGAGAGUUUCUGGUUAGUCAUGGGAGUUUACCGGAAAUUGGGCAAUCACUGGAAUUUCUGAACAACGAAGUGAAUGACAGGUUGAAAUCAGAGUGUUAGUCCACAGACAUUAUACGUGAUAGGGUGAAGAGAGAAGAAAGGUCAGAUAGGAAAUUAUUGCUAGAGUGAACCAUCCAGUUCAAAAGCGCUGGACUGGCAAAGAGCCAGAAGUAAAGCGCGAUGUAGGAAGUUGUGCUCUGGUGACAGACAAGGAAACCUGAAACUUAAGCCAUUUCAAGUGAGGUGACAGACCUUCCAAGAGAAUAACAGCAUCACACAACAGCCACUGAUUUAAUGACCUGCUUGUUCACUGACCAGAUCCUCAAAGUUUCAACUGGGACGUGGUAACUUUUUUAGAUGGAGCAAUGCUUCUUGCCAAUCAUCAUAUACAUACUCAGUGACCUUGCAUGAAGAAACAUCCUGUCUGCAGAAAAGGAGACUGCACCUCAUCUACACAAGGCAGGGCUGAUAAGGUUCCUUGACCUUUAUUUGAUAUUGACAUACAUUUUGGAAGCUAGUAAACAGUGAUUAAAAUAUUCCACAAACAUGAAGUGAUUGUUUAGUUUUCAGCCUGUUCAGUGAAAUGAAGUUUCAGCUGAUUUGGCACCCAACCCAGCAUGUGAUUGUGUUGCUUCCUUCAUGAGUUUCUUUCAGAGCAUGAUGAGGUGGUGAAUAACAGAGGCUCAGAAAUUGGACUCUAUGGUUUUGAAUCCUGCCUUCACAACUUCUGUGUGAUGUUGAACAAAUUACUUAACCUCUCUGACUCUCCAUAAAAUGAGGAUAAUAAUAUCUACUUCACAGGGUUGUUGCAGGGAUAGAAUGAAAAAACUACAUGUAAAUCACUUAGAACUAUGCCUGACACAUAUUUAGUACUUAGUAAAUGCUAGCUACUAUUUAUAUUUUAACAAUAGAAUGAGGCACCACUGUAAACUAUCAUGGUAUGUAAUCCAUCUCACCAAUAAUUUAUGGAUAACUGUUACUUGUUCUUUUGUUAAAAAGUAUUGCAUAUGAUGUCUAUGACAUAUUUGCUUCUUAUAAUAAUGAAACCAGAAAAUUCACUGUGUGUUAUCAAAUGUGAUUGUCUUGAACAAUUACUGAGUAUGAUCUCAAUCAUCAGAGUGGAAAAACGUUACCGUGGAAUCACAUGGGACUCUGAGACUCUCUGAUACACAUGCACCCCUUACAACACCUACACAGUGACAUACAUGCAAAAGGUACUGCUUGCUUCAAUGUCUGCAUGCAAGAACAAACAAGAAAUGUGUGUCUCUGAAAUAAAAUAUUAACUUUUCAUGCCAAUAUAGGCACUUAUUGUUUGUGGGAACAUCAUUUAAUAGAUAAGUAUUAACAGUUUUACAAUUGGUUACUUAGGAUACUGUAUUUUAACUCAGCAUCAGUCAGUUUUUCUGAAAUGUGAUAUAUUUUCUUCCUCCUUUAAUAUUUGUACUAAUAACAAUGGUACCUAACAUUCAUUGACCAAUUACUACAUGCCUGUGCUUUCUUUGUAUUAACUUGGAACAGCCUGAUAAGCUGGAUACUCAUUAUUUCCAUUUUAUAGGUAAGGCACAGAAGUUUGAAAAGCUUGACUAAGUUAAUAGCUAGUGCGUGGUGGAGCCUAGAUUUGGAACAGUAAUCUCUAGCAUCAACUCAGUUUAACCAUCGUACCAUACUAUACACUAAGUUAUAUAUUAGUGUGUUAAAUGAAUAAUGUUCUACAAAAUGCCUGACAGGGGUUUGCAUUUGCCAUUGGUUGAUUUUAAAUCAAGUGAAAAUUAGAAGUGUGACUCUGAGACUAUGUUAAAGUGAACUUUAUAACAUUUAAAAAAUAAAUAAAUUUAUUUAAUUUUUAUUUUUGGCUGCGUUGGGUCUUCAUUGCUACACGCGGGCUUUCUCUAGUUGUGGCGAGUGAGGGCUACUCUUCAUUGCAGUGAGCUUCUCACUGCGGUGGCUUCUCUUGUUGCGGAGCAUGGGCUCUAGGCGCAUGGGCUUCAGUAGUUGUGGCUCACGGGCUCUAGAGCGCGGGCUCAGUAGUUGUGGCGCACGGGCUUAGUUGCUCCGCGGCAUGUGGGGUCUUCCCGGACCAGGGCUUGAACCCAUGUCCCUUGCAUUGGCAGGCAGAUUCUUAACAACUGCGCCACAAGGGAAGCCCGUAUAACAUUUUUGUAAAAUAUUUUAUAUAGAAGUAUACCUUAUCCAGUUAACAUAGAUUUUGGUUUUUUACGCUCUAAGUUGGUUCUUUAAAGUGAAAUUUUUA